ACUCAAAGGAAUUGACGGGGGCCCGCACAAGCAGCGGAGCGUGUGGUUUAAUUCGAGGCUACACGAAGAACCUUACCUGGGUUGGACAUGCCGGUGGUAGGGCGGCGAAAGCCAACCGACCGCAAGGAGCCGGGACAGGUGCUGCAUGGCUGUCGUCAGCUCGUGUCGUGAGAUGUACGGUUAAGUCCGCAAACGAGCGCAACCCCUGCCCGCAGUUACAGGUGUCUGCGGGGACGGCCUCCGUCAAGGGGGAGGAAGGUGGGGAUGACGUCAAGUCCGCAUGGCCUUCAUAUCCAGGGCGACACACACGCUACAAUGGACGGUACAAUGGGCAGCCAGGCGGCGACGCCGCGCCAAUCCCCAAAGCCGUUCUCAGUUCGGAUUGCAGGCUGCAACCCGCCUGCAUGAAGCUGGAGUUGCUAGUAACCGCGCGGGAGCCGAGUGCGGUGAAUACGUUCCCGGGCCUUGCACACACCGCCCGU
Molecule: ribosomal RNA, 482 nt
Filed under: uncultured bacterium
Lineage: Bacteria
Description: partial 16S ribosomal RNA
Rfam family: Bacterial small subunit ribosomal RNA
Source: RNAcentral